RNAcentral lists this ribosomal RNA (908 nucleotides) under uncultured bacterium. Its description in RNAcentral is "bacterial SSU rRNA". It matches the Rfam family "Bacterial small subunit ribosomal RNA", at positions 33 to 930 of the family's 1533-position model. The record is from RNAcentral.
ACGCUGGCGGCAUGCUCUACACAUGCAAGUCGGACGGCAGCACAGAGAAGCUUGCUUCUUGGGUGGCGAGUGGCGAACGGGUGAGUAACAUAUCGGAACGUACCGAGUAAUGGGGGAUAACUAAUCGAAAGAUUAGCUAAUACCGCAUAUUCUCUGAGGAGGAAAGCAGGGGACCUUCGGGCCUUGCGUUAUUCGAGCGGCCGAUAUCUGAUUAGCUAGUUGGUGGGGUAAAGGCCUACCAAGGCGACGAUCAGUAGCGGGUCUGAGAGGAUGAUCCGCCACACUGGGACUGAGACACGGCCCAGGCUCCUACGGGAGGCAGCAGUGGGGAAUUUUGGACAAUGGGCGCAAGCCUGAUCCAGCCAUGCCGCGUGUCUGAAGAAGGCCUUCGGGUUGUAAAGGACUUUUGUCAGGGAAGAAAAGGCUGUUGCUAAUACCGACAGUUGAUGACGGUACCUGAAGAAUAAGCACCGGCUAACUACGUGCCAGCAGCCGCGGUAAUACGUAGGGUGCGAGCGUUAAUCGGAAUUACUGGGCGUAAAGCGAGCGCAGACGGUUACUUAAGCAGGAUGUGAAAUCCCCGGGCUCAACCUGGGAACUGCGUUCUGAACUGGGUGACUAGAGUGUGUCAGAGGGAGGUAGAAUUCCACGUGUAGCAGUGAAAUGCGUAGAGAUGUGGAGGAAUACCGAUGGCGAAGGCAGCCUCCUGGGAUAACACUGACGUUCAUGCUCGAAAGCGUGGGUAGCAAACAGGAUUAGAUACCCUGGUAGUCCACGCCCUAAACGAUGUCAAUUAGCUGUUGGGCAACUUGAUUGCUUAGUAGCGUAGCUAACGCGUGAAAUUGACCGCCUGGGGAGUACGGUCGCAAGAUUAAAACUCAAAGGAAUUGACGGGGACCCGCACAAGC